UGGAAUUGAAGACAACUACUUCUAGAAUUGGUGCAUGGAAGCUUCUCAUAGGUGAUUAGCCACACUCUUCUUCUGUCAACCUGGUGCAGAAAAGCUUGAAGACCUUGGAAAUCACAUAUUGAUGAUGGAGGAGACACAAGAAUGAAGGACCCUGGGUUCCUGAAUCAACACUCUAAGAAGAGACUCCUUGAAAUCAAGAGCACUCAUUUUGACAUUGCAAAUGGAAAAAUUCACUUCUAUCAGGGGACUGAUCAGAGUCAAACCAUAUGCUGUGGCUUUUGCUCCAUGGAAAUCUAAACUAUACUGCAAGAAUAAUUAUUCCUAGUUAAUGAAGUUACGGAAGAGAAUGUGGUGCUGGACGGUACUGACUGCAUGGGGAGAGGCCAUACCACAGAAACCUCAAUCUGCCUGAGCCGUGACUCUGAGAGCUGGAGUACCACUGGACAGGAUGUCUGGUUUCAUAUCAAGCCUUUACAUGCACAACAAUCCUGCAGAUACCUCAUUUCAGUGAUGUUAUAGAGAGAAAAUGUUGGCAUACAAGUGAGGUGUGUUUGAAACAAUUACACUAUAAUAAAUGAUUAUAAACAGAUACAGAAGAAUUUGACAGGCCUAUCUCAAAGAGAGAAUUGAGAUUAUUUAAUCAUUUAAUCUACCA
Long non-coding RNA from Gorilla gorilla gorilla (western lowland gorilla), 655 nucleotides. RefSeq lists it as uncharacterized. The transcript has 5 exons. Lineage: Eukaryota; Metazoa; Chordata; Mammalia; Primates; Hominidae. The record is from RefSeq and is a predicted model, not a curated record.